RNAcentral lists this ribosomal RNA (253 nucleotides) under uncultured bacterium. RNAcentral describes it as "partial 16S ribosomal RNA". It matches the Rfam family "Bacterial small subunit ribosomal RNA", at positions 524 to 776 of the family's 1533-position model. The record is from RNAcentral.
UACGGAGGGGACUAGCGUUGUUCGGAAUUACUGGGCGUAAAGCGCACGUAGGCGGAUUUGUAAGUCAGGGGUGAAAUCCCGAGGCUCAACCUCGGAACUGCCUUUGAUACUGCAAAUCUCGAGUCCGGAAGAGGUGAGUGGAAUUCCUAGUGUAGAGGUGAAAUUCGUAGAUAUUAGGAAGAACACCAGUGGCGAAGGCGGCUCACUGGUCCGGUACUGACGCUGAGGCACGAAAGCGUGGGGAGCAAACAGG